Molecule: ribosomal RNA, 465 nt
Filed under: Vreelandella stevensii
Lineage: Bacteria; Pseudomonadati; Pseudomonadota; Gammaproteobacteria; Oceanospirillales; Halomonadaceae
Description: partial 16S ribosomal RNA
Rfam family: Bacterial small subunit ribosomal RNA
Source: RNAcentral
CCUACGGGUGGCUGCAGUGGGGAAUAUUGAACAAUGGGGGCAACCCUGAUCCAGCCAUGCCGCGUGUGUGAAGAAGGCCCUCGGGUUGUAAAGCACUUUCAGUGAGGAAGAACGCCUGGUGGUUAAUACCCAUCAGGAAAGACAUCACUCACAGAAGAAGCACCGGCUAACUCCGUGCCAGCAGCCGCGGUAAUACGGAGGGUGCGAGCGUUAAUCGGAAUUACUGGGCGUAAAGCGCGCGUAGGUGGCUUGAUAAGCCGGUUGUGAAAGCCCCGGGCUCAACCUGGGAACGGCAUCCGGAACUGUCAAGCUAGAGUGCAGGAGAGGAAGGUAGAAUUCCCGGUGUAGCGGUGAAAUGCGUAGAGAUCGGGAGGAAUACCAGUGGCGAAGGCGGCCUUCUGGACUGACACUGACACUGAGGUGCGAAAGCGUGGGUAGCAAACAGGAUUAGAUACCCCGGUAGUC